This 22-nucleotide microRNA is filed under the name Marchantia polymorpha subsp. ruderalis. The record is from RNAcentral. Lineage: Eukaryota; Viridiplantae; Streptophyta; Marchantiopsida; Marchantiales; Marchantiaceae.
CUUUGGCAGCCAAAAGGAGGAC